UUACAUAACAUAUGAAUGUUUAUACAUCUGUGUGUGUUUAUAUAUAUAUUUGAAGGUCUUCGUCGGCAAUCGAGUGAGAUUAUUAUGACAGUCGUGUCAGUGCGACCAGGAAGUGCUUUGAGUACAGAGUAUCUACCUACCGAUAGGGUGAAAAUAAUAAUAAAGAAAACAAACUCGGCACGGCCCAGUCUGUUUGGAGGUGCUGUCUGCCGUAAAACGACAAUAUAAUAUUAUAGUCGAACGGUAUAUUAUACAUGCAGCACGAUGUUACUUUUGGAAAGCCUGCAAAAGUAUAAUUGAAAACGUUUUCAAACAAUAGUAAUAACUGUCGUGUAUGGACAUUGGAGGACAGUAUCUAUAUAGACCCGGAUCGGUUGAUGGUUAAAAACGAAUGAUUUCAGCGGAAAUGACGUCAUUAAUGCUUUGACAUUAUCGUUCGAAAUUUUGGACCAUAAUUUUUUUUCAAAACAGCGUUUUUAUAGACAAUCAUUACUUCGUUUAGAAUAAAUUUUUUUUAUAAUUAAAUUACGAAUUUUACCUAAAAAUAACAUAUCAGAGGUAAAUCAAAAUUUUUUUAAACUUAUUUAGU
This is a long non-coding RNA of Rhopalosiphum maidis (corn leaf aphid), 589 nucleotides long. RefSeq lists it as uncharacterized. The transcript has 3 exons. The record is from RefSeq and is a predicted model, not a curated record. Lineage: Eukaryota; Metazoa; Arthropoda; Insecta; Hemiptera; Aphididae.